AUUGAACGCUGGCGGCAUGCCUUACACAUGCAAGUCGAACAGUAACAGGUCUUCGGAUGCUGACGAGUGGCGGACGGGUGAGUAAUACAUCGGAACGUGCCCGAUCGUGGGGGCUAACGAAGCGAAAGCUUUGCUAAUACCGCAUAAGAUCUACGGAUGAAAGCCGGGGACCGCAAGGCCUUGCGCGAACGGAGCGGCCGAUGGCAGAUUAGGUAGUUGGUGGGAUAAAAGCUUACCAAGCCGACGAUCUGUAGCUGGUCUGAGAGGACGACCAGCCACACUGGGACUGCACCACGGCCCAGACUCCUACGGGAGGCGGCAGUGGGGAAUUUUGGAGAAUGAGCGAUAGCCUGAUCCAUACCAGCCGCGUGCAGGAUGAAGGCCUUCGGGUUGUAAACUGCUUUUGUACGGAACGAAAAGACUCUAGUUAAUACCUGGGGUCCAUGACGGUACCGUAAGAAUAAGCACCGGCUAACUACGUG
RNAcentral lists this ribosomal RNA (482 nucleotides) under uncultured bacterium. RNAcentral describes it as "partial 16S ribosomal RNA". It matches the Rfam family "Bacterial small subunit ribosomal RNA", at positions 30 to 507 of the family's 1533-position model. The record is from RNAcentral.